Non-coding RNA from Sturnus vulgaris (Common starling), 81 nucleotides. NCBI's taxonomy places the organism in Eukaryota, Metazoa, Chordata, Aves, Passeriformes, Sturnidae. The record is from RefSeq and is a predicted model, not a curated record.
AAGAUAUGAAAGGAAUAUGAAUGCUUCUAUGAGCCUGAGCUAGGCCUGUAGCUUUGCCCUUGAAAAAGAGAUAAGACAGAA